Molecule: ribosomal RNA, 744 nt
Filed under: Triticum aestivum (bread wheat)
Lineage: Eukaryota; Viridiplantae; Streptophyta; Magnoliopsida; Poales; Poaceae
Description: partial small subunit ribosomal RNA
Source: RNAcentral
AUGGACAUGACGGUUGCAUACUUUGGAAGGCGGCAAGAUGAGAAUCCUGAAUUCUACUAUGCAAAAACAGCUCAUGAGGAAACAAACUCUGUUACAUGACUGUUUUGGGUUGAUGGGAGGACAAGGGCAUUGUACCAUAAGUACAGAGAUUGUAUUUUCUUUGCCACCACCUUUUGCACAAAUAGGUACAAUAUGCCAUUUGCUCCAAUUGUUGUCGUCAACAAACAUUUGCAGACAAUUUUGCUGGGGUGUGCUCUGCUUCUGAAUGAAAAUAUUGAAACCUUCAAGUGGGUCUUCGAGAACUUUUUGAUCAUGAUGAACAAUGAACACCCAUUAAACAUCAUGACAGACCAAGACAAGGCAAUGGAAUCAGCCAUUUCUGAAGCAUUACCAAAUACAGUGCAUAUGUGUUGCAAAUGGCAUGUCCAGCGGAAAGCGAGAGAGAAGUUGGGCAGAAUACUGAGCAGAGAUGAAGUUUUUGAGCAAGCUUUCUACACAUGCAUCAACGAUCCAGAAACAGUUGAUGAGUCUAAGGAGAAUUGGCAGCACAUGAUACAUUGCUUCGAAUUAGAAGAUAAUACACACCUUUGCAACAUGUGGCAAACCCGGCAUACCUGGGCUCCAGCAUACUUCUGGAAAUGCUUCUUUCCAUUCACGAGCACUACGGGGAGGUUAGAGGGCCUCAACUCUUACUUCAAGACAUUCAUCAAUCCUCAAGAGUCGGUUUGGAAAUUUUUGCAGUAG